AAUAAGUUCAUUUAUAUGUUUAUGUGUGCAAUGUUUGACCGUAUAUCUUAUUUGCUCUUUUUAUGAAUUACUAGUAUUUUUUUGUUGUUAUUAGAUGAUAAGAUAUAAAUAGUACUUUAUGCAUGACUUGUUUUUUAAAAAUUUUCAGAUAAGACGGACGGUCAAAAGUUAGAUAUAGAAAACUACCAAUAAACUUAUU
This 199-nucleotide microRNA precursor is filed under the name Oryza rufipogon (brownbeard rice). Its description in RNAcentral is "MIR812 microRNA precursor family". It matches the Rfam family "MIR812 microRNA precursor family". Lineage: Eukaryota; Viridiplantae; Streptophyta; Magnoliopsida; Poales; Poaceae. The record is from Rfam by way of RNAcentral.